UCGAGGGGUACAGUAGCAAUACUGGAGACCGGCGCACGGGUGCGUAACGCGUAUGCAAUCUACCUUUUACAGAGGGAUAGCCCAGAGAAAUUUGGAUUAAUACCUCAUAGUAUAUUUGAAUGGCAUCAUUUGAUUAUUAAAGUUCCAACGGUAAAAGAUGAGCAUGCGUCCCAUUAGCUAGAUGGUAAGGUAACGGCUUACCAUGGCAACGAUGGGUAGGGGUCCUGAGAGGGAGAUCCCCCACACUGGUACUGAGACACGGACCAGACUCCUACGGGAGGCAGCAGUGAGGAAUAUUGGACAAUGGGCGCAAGCCUGAUCCAGCCAUGCCGCGUGCAGGAAGACGCAUCUAUGGUGUGUAAACUGCUUUUGUACGGGAAGAAACACUCCUACGUGUAGGGGCUUGACGGUACCGUAAGAAUAAGGAUCGGCUAACUCCGUGCCAGCAGCCGCGGUAAUACGGAGGAUCCAAGCGUUAUCCGGAAUCAUUGGGUUUAAAGGGUCCGUAGGCGGUUUGAUAAGUCAGUGGUGAAAGCCCAUCGCUCAACGAUGGAACGGCCAUUGAUACUGUCAGACUUGAAUUAUUGGGAAGUAACUAGAAUAUGUAAUGUAGCGGUGAAAUGCUUAGAUAUUACAUGGAAUACCAAUUGCGAAGGCAGGUUACUACCAGUACAUUGACGCUGAU
This 685-nucleotide ribosomal RNA is filed under the name uncultured Bacteroidota bacterium. Its description in RNAcentral is "bacterial SSU rRNA". It matches the Rfam family "Bacterial small subunit ribosomal RNA", at positions 62 to 750 of the family's 1533-position model. The record is from RNAcentral. Lineage: Bacteria; Pseudomonadati; Bacteroidota.